This 440-nucleotide ribosomal RNA is filed under the name uncultured bacterium. RNAcentral describes it as "partial 16S ribosomal RNA". It matches the Rfam family "Bacterial small subunit ribosomal RNA", at positions 338 to 795 of the family's 1533-position model. The record is from RNAcentral.
CCUACGGGAGGCAGCAGUGGGGAAUAUUGCACAAUGGGGGGAACCCUGAUGCAGCGACGCCGCGUGGGUGAGGAAGUACUUCGGUAUGUAAAGCCCUAUCAGCAGGGAAGAAAAUGACGGUACCUGACUAAGAAGCCCCGGCUAACUACGUGCCAGCAGCCGCGGUAAUACGUAGGGGGCAAGCGUUAUCCGGAUUUACUGGGUGUAAAGGGAGCGUAGACGGCGUGGCAAGUCUGGUGUGAAAGGCCGGGGCUCAACCCCGGGACUGCAUUGGAAACUGGCAUGCUGGAGUGCAGGAGGGGCAAGCGGAAUUCCUAGUGUAGCGGUGAAAUGCGUAGAUAUUAGGAGGAACACCAGUGGCGAAGGCGGCUUGCUGGACGGUAACUGACGUUGAGGCUCGAAAGCGUGGGGAGCAAACAGGAUUAGAUACCCUUGUAGUC